ACUCAAAGGAAUUGACGGGGACCCGCACAAGCAGCGGAGCGUGUGGUUUAAUUCGAAGCAACGCGCAGAACCUUACCAGGGGUGGACAUGCUCGAGACCCUCCCAGAGAUGGGACUCCCUUCGGGGCCCGAGCACAGGUGCUGCAUGGCUGUCGUCAGCUCGUGCCGUGAGGUGUUGGGUUAAGUCCCGCAACGAGCGCAACCCCCAUCGUCGGUUGCAUCUCUCCGACGAGACUGCCACGAUGAACGUGGAGGAAGGUGGGGAUGAAGUCAAGUCCGCACGGCCCUGACCUCCUGGGCGACACACACGCUACAAUGGCCUAGACAAUGGGUAGCCACCUCGCGAGGGGCAGCUAAUCCCCAAACUGGGUCUCAGUUCAGAUUGCAGGCUGCAACUCGCCUGCAUGAAGUCGGAGUUGCUAGUAACCGUGGGUCAGCACACCACGGUGAAUGCGUUCCCGGGUCUUGUACACACCGCCCGU
This 481-nucleotide ribosomal RNA is filed under the name uncultured bacterium. RNAcentral's name for it is "partial 16S ribosomal RNA". It matches the Rfam family "Bacterial small subunit ribosomal RNA", at positions 899 to 1397 of the family's 1533-position model. The record is from RNAcentral.